GGAUGUGAGGGCGAUCUGGUUGUGACAUCUGUCACCCCAUUGAUCGCCAGGGUUGAUUCGGCUGAUCUGGCUGGCUAGGCGGGUGUCCCCUUCCCCCCCCCCCACUGCUCCACAUGCGUCCCUCCUGAAGCUGCGCACUCACAGAGGACGGCCAUCCCCAAUAGAGGAGGACCGGUCUUCGGUCAAGGGUAUACAAGUAGUUGCGCUCCCCUGCUAGAACCUCCAAACAAGCUCUCAA
Molecule: long non-coding RNA, 238 nt
Filed under: Cervus elaphus hippelaphus
Lineage: Eukaryota; Metazoa; Chordata; Mammalia; Artiodactyla; Cervidae
Rfam family: 7SK RNA
About the family: 7SK was discovered as an abundant small nuclear RNA in the mid-70s but a possible function has only recently been suggested.
Source: RNAcentral